RNAcentral lists this long non-coding RNA (8328 nucleotides) under Manihot esculenta (cassava). Its description in RNAcentral is "long non-coding RNA (MESC_LNC006313)". Lineage: Eukaryota; Viridiplantae; Streptophyta; Magnoliopsida; Malpighiales; Euphorbiaceae. The record is from RNAcentral.
AAGCAUAAAUGUAUCAUAAAAUUAACAAGCAAAAAAUUAACAAGCAAAAAAUUAAACAAGCAAAAAAUUACAAAAAAUCUAAGAAAUUUGAAAUCGUGGAGUGGGAAAUUCGACGGUGGAUGGCGGCGAACCUUUUGAUGGCGGUGGACGUUGGAUGAACAGGGCAGUGAACGGCCGAGAGGUUGGACCGAAGUUCCGAUUUCAGUGAGCCCGUGGAUAUUGAUGCUGAGAAUAAGCUUCGUUGUCGACGGUCGAUGGCAGCGAACCGUUGAUGGCGGCGAACCGUUGAUGGCAGCGGACGAUGGAUGCACUUGGCAGUGAACGAGCAGUGAACGAGGGAAAGGUUGGAGGCAACUUCAGAUUUUCAGUGAUUUUGAUUUUAAGGAAUUAGGGAUUUCAUUUAAGACUGGAAUUUUGGCUCCAAAAUUUUCACUCACGGAUUACUGACGGAUAGCUUCAUCCGUUAGUAGUCCGUUAGAGUGAUUCCGUUAGUAUUACUUACGGAAUCACAAACCGUUGGUGAAUCCGUUAGAAUCAUUAAUGGAUUUCAAAUCGUUGGUGAAUUCGUUAGUAUCAUUAACGGAUUUCAAACCGUUGGUGAAUCCGUUAGUGAUACUAACGGAUUUACCAUCAGUUAGUGAAAUUGUGAAUUCUUGUAGUGAAAGAUGAGGCUCUACAGAAGUGUAUGUCAAAUCUCACCGUUAUAAUAUCUUGGUUACGUGGUCCACGCACCAAUUAAAUAUACAUGUUCUUUAUAGACUGGGAAUUGCAUAUAUAAUUGCCACAAUCUGUUGUUUACAUCCCAUUCUUCUCAAGUGCAAGAUUAAGAUAAAUGGAAAGGCUAGAGGCAAGAGAUCCAGAGGGAAUGCUCAGAGGUCAAGCUACAAUACUGCAAUGCAUUUUUGGCUUCAUGGAUAGCGUGGCACUCAAGUGUGUAGUUGAGCUAGACAUUCCUGAUAUAAUAAACUCCCAUGGUUGUCCCCUCUCCUUGUCUUCCAUUGCUAAAAGCAUCAACCACCCUUCUCUGGACAUUGAUCGCCUCUCACGGAUUAUGGCAUUGUUAGCUCACAGAGGAAUCUUCACAUCAAGUCAUCCAGAAGGGAAACACAACACUACUACUCUCUAUGGCCUCACGAACUCCUCCAAAUUUCUACUCCGCAAUUCCAAGACAAGUCUUGCACCCUUAUUGAUGUUGCAAUACCAUGAAGGGACUGUACCAAAUUGGCAUCACCUUAGUAAUAUUGUAAAGGAAGGUGGGAAUGGGUUUGCUAGGUCUAAUGGUUUAGAGCUUUGGGAUUUUGCAUCAUCUAAUCCUGAGUUCAACACCUUAUUUAAUAAGGCUAUGGAUGGGAUAUCAAGCAUCACAAUGGAAGCAAUGAAGACUAGCUAUAAAGAUGGGUUCAAGGAAAUAGGAUCGCUUGUUGAUGUUGGAGGCGGAUCUGGUGCAAUGGUGGGUGAGAUUGUGAAGGCACAUCCACAUAUAAAAGGUAUCAAUUUCGAUCUUCCACAUGUGGUGGCUACGGCACCAGAGUAUGAGGGCGUCACACAUGUUGUUGGCGAUAUGUUUGAAAGCAUUCCUGCAGCUGAUGCAAUUCUUAUGAAGGUAAUAGAAUCUUAAUAAUAUAUUAGAAAACCUAAAAUUUAAACGACUCAUCUUCUACUUGAAUAUAAGUAUUACAAAUAAUAUUAUUGUUAUUGAAAUGUAGUGGAUAUUGCAUACGUGGGAUGACGAAAAUUGCAUCAAAGUCUUGAAAAAGUGUAGACAAGCAUUGCCUGAGAAAACUGGAAAGCUUAUAAUCAUGGAAGCAGUUUUAAAUCCGCAGGGAUUCGACUUGUUCAAUCAUACAAGAUUGAUAUUUGAUCUAGUGAUGAUGGUUCAUGUCGAAGGAAAAGAAAGGAGUGAAGUAGAAUGGAAAAGGCUGUUGGAGGAAGGAGGUUUUGGAAGCUACAAAAUUAUAAAAAUUCCAGCAAUGAUAUCAAUAAUUGAGGCUUAUCCCUGAUAUGCUCUCUCCUUGGAUUGUGUAGCUAGAAAUAUUACCAUUUAUUUUUCUAUUUAUGGUGUGCUUUUCAUCUUUGUUAUCUUAUUACUCUGUGCUUUCUAUAUAAUCUUUGGUGAAUGAACGCAGCACCCUUAUCUCGAAUGAAUUAGUCAGAUCGAUGGAGGACAUUUAUUACUUGCGUUGCGACAAGGAAAUAAGUUUUUAUUUUCCAAACUGAUCAGGUAUUGUACUCCAUUAGUUCACUGUACACCCACAAGCCCCACUACCCAUUAAAUGUGUUUUAAAUCAAUCUGACUAAAUUUUCUUUGCCUUUUUCUUCAAAAAGGAAAUUUUCUCCAAAUAAUUACUAUCUAAAAACCUCCUACCAUGAUAAGGAGAGGUUAUCUAACUUCUAAAGAGACUUUCAAUUUAACUUUUUAUCAGUGAGUAAGAACAUGGAACUGAUGAGCCUCAUGAGGCAGCCAUACUGAUAAUAAUUUCAAGAAAGGUGCUAGAUACUUAUACUAAAAUUACUCCACAAAGUAGUAAACAAAUGUAGCAAUAUAUUUAAAUUCUUGGAUAUGAUUGUAUGGUAAAUCUUUUUAAAGAGAGACUCCAUUCUCCCUCAAAAAAUUAUUAAAAAUAAGUUUUGGAAAUGAGAAAUUAAAAAUAAUUAAUUACUACACAAAAAAAAUAUUAUGAUCUGUCCAAAUAUUCUAUUUCUAUGAACAUUAUAAGUUUUUCAUCUCUUACAAAAAGAUUAUGAUGUACUAUUAUUAUGAUAUGCUUAUUAAUGAAUUGUUAAAUUUUUUUAAAUAAUAAUAUAAAGCACAUUUACCUUUAAAAAAAAAUACAAAGCACAUUUAAGGAUAAUAAAAGUUUUUAUUAAAUUAAUACUGACCUAUUCAUAGAUUUAUUUUAGUGGUAGGUGCAUUUGAGUCAGGUUUUACUCUUUCAAUUUUUAAUUACCGUUUUAAAAAAAAAAAUACUGAAAUAAUCAAUCUUAUAAAAAAAAAAAAUACUGAAAUAAUCAGUGUGUGUCUCAUCAUGCGAGAAGUUUAAAAUUUUAAAGUAUUAGUAAGAAAAUUUGCAACUUUAACAAUAAUUUAGUUAGCAAUAUACUGUCUUUAACAAUAGUAGGAAUAAACCGUGGAUAUUUAAUUUUAAUGAUAAUAAAAUAAAAUACCAUAUACAAAUUUUGGAAAUGCCCCCAAGUUAAAUAUUUAACAUUUAACUUUAAUUAAACUCUUUUUUUUUAUAAAAUAAACUAUAUAUAAUUAUUAAUAUUUAAAUUUUAUAAAAUAUAACUAUUAAAUCUUAAAAAGUUAUAGCGGAUAUAACUCACAUUCAAAUGUAAAAGAUUAAAUAAUUAUGUUUUAUAAAAGUUAAUUACUUGAUAAUUGAUUGUUUUAUAAGAAUAAGACACUAAAUAAUGCAUUUAGUUAAAAUAAAACUAAUGGUUGUCGGCUGAAAUCAAUAUCUGCUUCUUAGAAGAAAUUUACCAUAUUGUAUAAUAAUUUUAUUAUAAAUAUUAAUUAUAAUAAAUUUUACUUUUACUAUUGUGAAUAUUCAGCCUUCCAAUGAUAUGUAAUAAUUUGUUUUUUGUUUAUAAAGUCAAGCUUACUUUUAAAUUUAUAUAUAUAUAUAUUUUUUUUUUUUUUUCUGUUGUAAAAUAGGCUUUAAUAAAAUUAGAUAAAUUCGUUUUAUCUAGGUAAUAACCAAGUUGCUCAACUUGAUACGCAAUUAAUUAAGGAGGUGACAUUUGGCCCUACCUAAUGACUUUUUAUCAUCUCCUGACACGACGCUGCCAGUCGUGUCACUUUUUCUGGAAAAUCAGUACAACCAUUGCAUGCAUUAUUGUGGGUAUUCACCCACUCGUGUAAUUAUAGUUUUUAUUUAAAUUAUUAAAGUACUCUGGGCAGUUUAUAUGUGAAAUGUUUUUUUUUUUUUUUUUAUUCAUAAGAGAGUACAUACACCAAGGUAAUUGGUAAUUUCUCUUACUCCGUAAAAAUUUAUAAGUUUUAACUGGAGUAAUAUAGUCUUCAAUUACACCACAUUCUUGUGAAUUGCAAGAUUAAGGAAGAGGGAAAUGGAAAGACUAGAAGUAGGAGAUCCCGAUGAAAUGGUCAGAGGUGAAGCCACAUUAUGGCAGUGCAUUUUUGGCUACGUUGAUGGCAUGGCACUCAAGUGUGUAGUUGAGCUAGGCAUUCCUGAUAUAAUAAACUCCCAUGGGUGUCCCCUUUCCUUGUUUUACAUUGCUAAAAGCAUCAACCACCCUUCCUUGGAUACCGAUCGCCUCUCACGAGUCAUGACACUGUUAGUUCAUAGAGGAAUCUUCACAUCAAGCUCAGAAGGGAAACACAACGCUACUACUCUCUAUGGCCUCACGAACUCCUCCAAAUUCCUACUUCGCGAUUCCAAGAGGAGUCUUGCACCCUUGUUGAUGUUGGAGAACCAUACAUGGAUGAUACAACCUUGGCAUCAACUUAGUGAUAUUAUAAAGGAAGGUGGGAAUGGGUUCUCUAGAUCUCAUGGUUUGGAGUUAUGGGAUUUUGCAUCAGUAAAUCCUGAAUUCAACAUCUUAUUUAACGGGGCUAUGAGUGGGGCAUCCAACAUCAUGGUGGAAGCAAUGAAGACUAGCUAUAAAGAUGGGUUGAAUGGGGUAGGAUCCCUUGUGGAUGUUGGGGGUGGGUCUGGUGCUAUGGUGGGGGAGAUUGUGAAGGCACAUCCACAUAUAAAAGGUAUCAACUUCGAUCUUCCACAUGUGGUGGCUAUGGCACCACAGUAUGAGGGUGUCACACAUAUUGCCGGUGAUAUGUUUGAAAGCAUUCCUGCCGCUGAUGUCAUUCUUAUGAAGGUAAUUAUAGAGUCUUUUAUAUACUGUGUUAGAUUGUUAUUUGCUAUUAGAAAUCGUACUUCUACUGGAACAUCAUUAUUGUAAUUAAUAUUGUUAUUUUCGAAAUAUAGUGGAUCCUACAUGUUUGGAAUGACGAAAAUUGCAUCAAAAUUUUAAAAAAGUGUCGAGAAGCAUUGCCUAAAAAGAUUGGAAAGCUUAUAAUCAUGGAAGCAGUCUUAAAUCCAGAAGAACAGGACUUGUUCGAGCAUACAAAAUUAAUGUUUGAUAUGUUGAUGAUGGUUGAGGUUCAAGGAAAAGAAAGGAGUGAAGCAGAAUGGAAAAGGUUGCUGGAGGAAGGAGGUUUUGGUAGCUACAAGAUUAUCAAAGUUCCAACACUGUUAUCAAUCAUUGAGGCUUAUCCUUGACAGGUUACGACACUCUCCUUGGGUCGUGUGGCUAGAAAUAUGAGGUGCCUAUUAAUUAUGAUGUGCUUUUCUAUCUUUUGUAAAAAAUGCAGCUUCUUUCUAUAUUUGGUGACAAUUUGGGGAAUGAGUGUAGCUUAAUAGUUCCACCCCUAUCUCCAAAUAAUACCAUGUAUGCCUUUACUACAAUGUAAUAUAAUAAAAUGCCUCAGGAAACCUAGCCUAGUUUCAUUAUACUAGUUUAUAUAUAUUAAAAAAAAAGUACUUAUUUAUUUUCCAAAUGCGUGAAAGAAUUGCCUUAUAUGUAGCAGUCUCUCAAUUAACAUGUGAAUAACAAUUUUUUAAUUUAAAUAAAUAAAAUAUAUUGUUAAUGUGUUUUGAUAAAAUGUAUGAACUAUUUUUUAUAGGAUCACAACUCAAUAUAUUUCAUUGGCACCACCAAGCUCAACUCCCUCCCUAUUUUGACAGUACCUCAAUUGAACAUUGAGCACAAAACAAAUUUAGCAAAAAUUCUUUUCACAACGAAACAACAUGUAAUAUGUCACACAAGAUUACUAUUUUUUUUUUUUUUCAUUUGGCUCGGUUUAUAAAUCAGAACUUAAACUCUCUUAUAUAUAUUCAUAAUAGAAAAUUUUAUAAAACUCUAAAAAAGUUAAUCUGUUUUUAAAACAUUAUAGAAGUAAAACUUGAUUAAUAAGAAAUCAGAUUCUAGUUUUUAUAAUUGAACUUCCCAUAUUAAAAUUUUCAUGUCAAGAACUAAAUUUUCAAAAAAAUUUUUAAAUGAACCUAAUUUACUAUAAAUUCAAAAGAUAUUAAAGUGGGUUCUAUUUAUUUUUUUUUUAUAAUAAGACCUACUUAUUUAUAUUUUAAAAAUUUCUUGAUCCAUAAUGGAUCGGGUUUAUAUAAAUAUUUCUCAAAUUUUCAUAUUAAAAUUUUCUUUUUAUAUAAUUUAAAUUUAAAUUAAAUUUAUUUUUUUUAUAAAAGUAUAUAUGUUUUAAUUUUUUGACAAUUCACACCUGCAGGUACAAGUUAAUGACAAGAUUAGAGUAGAAGUUAAAAUCAGACCCCUUGAGUUUAUAUUAUCACUUAUUAUAUAUACCAUAUUUGAUCAAUAUGAUGAUUUAGUACUUUAGAAUUAUUCAACAAUUAUAUGUGCAGGCCGAAGUGCUAAGGAAGGAGGUGGCACUUGGCCCUAUCCAAUUCCAAUGGCAAGGAAGGGAGAGAUUUUAUCAUGAAACUGUGAUUCCAAAUGGGUUGUUCUAUAUAUGAUGACAAUUUAAUACAACUUUGUUAAAAUAUGCCCUAAAAUUAGGGAAAAAAAUAUCAAAGAUUUAUUUUUUCAUGUAAUUUUCUUAAGGAAAGAUUUUUUGUCUCUAGAUAGUUGAUACGAUGUCGGCCACCUUUCCUCAUAUGAAAGCCGUGCCCUUUGAUAAUUAGUCGUUGGCCGGAUAAAACGUUACCUUAUUACAGCAUUUUGUUUCUUUUAUUGUAUAUCACCUUCACAUUUUCAUAGAUUUGCCUUUUUCUAUUAAACCCAUCUAGUCUAGUCUUUCUUUUUAUCAAUCUAUUUUAGCUGUCUAUUUAACGUAUCUAAAUUUAACAAAUAAAACAUUCACAAUAACUAAAAAAAAAUAAUACACUUCAAAAAUAAAAUACAAUAAAAUUAAUAAACCUAAAAAAAAUGAAACUUCAAUCUACUUCUGCCGAAUUCUGCAACUUUAAAAUUAUUCUUGUGCGGCAUAAACAUCUCCAAUCGAGAGACUGCUAGAUAUAUACAGGUGAUAAUGGCACUGUAAUUCAAAUAAAUUAAUAUCUGAAUUGAUAUUUAUAAUGGAAUUUAGCUGAUAUGUCAUCGAGUAUGAGUGAAAUUAGGCUUAUAUUAGAUUGUACAAUUUCAAAAUAAAGGGUGGGCCUACUAGGCUGCACUCAUUCACCAAAUUGUUUACUAAAGAUAGAAAAGGACACUCAUAAUAAAGAGACCACUAUUUCUAGCCACACAAUCGAAGGAGACCGGUGUGCGUCAAAUCCAAAAAAAAUAAACACUAUUGAUGAUCUGAGAUCCAAUAGAAUAGGGUUUUACAAGGGUUUUGGUAUUGAAAUAUAAAACUUAAACUUUCUGGGGAGGGGGUUCCCCUUUUAUCCAUUUCGCUAUGCUUGCUGGUGACGUGUAAAAGCCUCUCCAUGAUUGGGACACGCGUCUCUGACAUACAGAUUCGGGCGUACGAGGGUAUCAGCAGCCUGCUCCAUGCGUAACGGCCUCUGAUUCUCCUCGUGCGUACGCUCGAGCGGAUCUGCUAGGCUGUCUUAGUAUGCUCUGGAUACUGGGCUGGGCCGAGAGUCUGGCCGGACGCUGAGCCUGAGAGGAGAGGGCCUGCUGGUCGCGGACUGGGCCGAUCUGAGUGAAGAAGCUUGGUUGGGCCCGGCCUUGAAGGUUGAAUGAGCCAGGCUUGUUGUGCAUAUCAGGUACGUGGGCCUCUGCGUUAUGGACCUUGGGCUGUGGUCAAGCCCCUGAUCCGGGGUAAAGAAAUCCAGCGGUCAUCAAUUGCCCCUUCACCUUCUCGGUAGACGCUCUUUAACUUCUAUUCUAAUAGACUGAAUAUCUUUCAUAAGGAAUCGUAGUAAGAUGCGACGAUUUUUUCCAGGAAAUCCCCAGCGAAAAAUACACACUAUUCCUUCUUUUCUAUCGAAUCGAUCAUAACCACUACCUAUAUUCCAUAAAAUUGUGCACCACAAAUAAGAACUAAUAAAUAGACCGGCGAUCCCAUAGAAAGACAUCACGAUCCCUUGUGGGAAAAAAAUUAUUUGCUGAGACGGAAAUAAAGAUAUCAAAUUUCUGCCUAUUGCUCCCACUGCCGAGGGGGUGAAUAUCAAGAACCAUUAUGACCGCGCCUGUUCGUGUUCAGGUGCCUUAAUAACAUCCUUUCAUCUUUCUGUCGUUGUGCAGUUUUCGAAUCCUAUCUGCUCUUUCCCCUUUCUGGCUUUUCUCCAUUCUUCGUGUUCUUUGCUGUCUUUGCUUUCCUGUCAUCAUUAUCUGGACAUGUCCUUUCUUUCCUUUUCCAUGACUAUCUUUUAAAAUUCUGACACCGUUAGC